Hylaeus volcanicus is the source of this 2684-nucleotide long non-coding RNA. RefSeq lists it as uncharacterized. The transcript is spliced from 7 exons. The record is from RefSeq and is a predicted model, not a curated record. Lineage: Eukaryota; Metazoa; Arthropoda; Insecta; Hymenoptera; Colletidae.
AGAAAAAUCUUUUACUAUAUAACAGGAAAAUAAAAAUAAUUAAUGGAUCAAUGAAUCUUUUUAGCAUGGCUAACAUGAUAACGGAUAAAAAAAUGCAGCGUAUGCUAAAAAACAUCGAAUGUAUCGUGAUACUUUCAAACUGAGACUAUUGGAGAAUGAGUCCAAGACAAAUGUACAAGAAUCUUCUUCAACAACUAUAGGUCUAAUCAAACGAAAAUUGAGUUAGUAAAUCAACGGAAUUCGUGCAAAUGACUUACUUGUUGGUGAGAAAUCAAAAAGAAUAUCAUCAAUUGAUACAUCGUUACAGAUUAAUGAUAAAGACUUAGCAGGGUCUCCAUAUGUUAACAUUUUAUCUAAUUCUGUUCCUAUUCUCUCUAAAGAUAUCUGUAUGAAGACAUUGCAUUAAGCCAGAACUCCUUUAAAAAAUAUUACAAUUCAAUUCCUACAUUAUUUCUUAGCUUUUCUCGAACGGAAGAGUUUUUAGAAGCGUAAAGUAAUUCCGCAUCAAACUGAAAACCUAACGUGGAAGCGAAUCUGAUCGCUCGAAGUAAACGUAAUGGAUCAUCUAGAAAGGUUUGAAGGGGAGCUAAAGGUGUCGAUAAUCUUUUUUCAUUAAGAUCAGAUAAGCCCCUGCCUAUAUUAAAACAUGAUAAAAUAGAAAAUGUUGUACGGUGAUACAAAAUCUAACCAGUCCAAUCUUCCACAUAAUCUUUAUCCAAAAAAUAAAAAAGACUGUUAAUAGUAAAAUCUCGUCGAUAAGCGUCUAAAAAUAGACGGAAAGAAAAAUUUUUGUUCUGUUCAUUGCACUAAACACAAAACCCCAAAAUAUACCGGAUUGAGGUGUCCCGAAAUCCAUUUCCGAAGGUAUACGACUGUCUUCCGUGUAUUUUUCAGAUCUUAAAUUAACAAAAUCGAGUGAAAAAUUAUUAAAAGUCAUCUGAAAAAAGUAAUCAUUGUUGUACAGAACCAUUUGUUAGGUUUUUUAACCGUUGAUGUUUCUAAAUGCUUUGAUUUUAAAGGAUUUUGUCUAAUGACUCCGAAAUUGCCUAUAUUAAAAUUUUGGGAACCAGGCCAUCUGAUGAAAGCAAAAAAGAUGUUUAAUCUUUUUUUUUUUUUUCAAACAACUUAUGUUCACUUUUUAAAAUAUUCUAGAAAAACCUUUCCAGUGACAUUACUUAAAGCAAUAUCAAUAUCAUCACACGGGCGACCAAGUUCGUCUGAGUUCUUCUUAAAAUUUAAAAGUAAAUCAAAUAAAUAAGUUUCAUUUUCUGUUAAAUGAAAACUUCUUGGGAUAAUUUGACAGGACGAUUCACGGUAACUAGUCAUUUGUUGCUCCAUUCAAUAACGAACGAUAAUUCCUACUAAAUGAUUUUUGUAGGGUAGUAUGGAAAAUUUAAAUUUAGAUCACGAAUUAGUGGAAUCAAGAAUUACUAGGAAGCUUUAUAUUUUGUGGAAUGUGCUACAAAACAAAAGAAAAAAAAAAUUUUUUUUUUAAAGCUAUACUUUCGUUCUUAAAACAUAAUUGGAUUUAUUUCUUAAUAAACACAUGAAGAAUUAUUUGAGGUUUGUUGUUCUAUUGAAUACCUAUUGGAUUGAGUAGAAGAUGAAACUAUUAAUGGGACACACGAUAAUCACUUUUAGAGUUGAUAUGAUUAAACGAAAACAUACCAUGGGGACGUGGUGCAUUUUUAAUAGCCUGCAAUUUGUGCUGUAAAAGCACAGCAGCACAUUGAAUGCGGACUGGAUUACCACUAAUAAUAUUUGAAUUUUGACACCGGCUUGUUCUUGAAUAUUUUGCAAGGUGACACCAUUUUUUCCAAUUAAUAAACCUAUACAACUAUCUGGAAUUUCUAUAUUAUAAUCAAGUAGAGGACCAGACAGAGGAGAAUUCCAUAAAAGAGGGUCGUUGAUAUCUACUAAAAGUGAAACUGUUUGAAGAAAAACAGAAAUUUUGUAAAACGUACAAGACGAAUUUGGAUGACAUAAAGGCAAUUUCCCAUCAUCGCUCGAUUGCCAACACUCCCAGAAAUAUUGAAUCCAGAUUGAGGAGUGAUAUAAGCACCCCGUGUUAUCAUUCCAGGCAAGCAGAAAUCUAAAGAAUCAAAUUGAGGCGAUGGAUGAUGAGGUAUUGUAGAGUAAUCAACUUUGCUAAUGAAUUCAAAAAAAAUAACAAGAUUUAUAACAGAAAGUGUUUUUUGGUUACGUAUGAUCUUUAAUAUGUGGAUCAGUUUGAAUGGAUUCAAUAAUAUGCGUUGAUGCUUCCGUUACAUUUUCUAGUAAACCAGUGAUUUUAACAACGCGUUCUUUCAAUUGACGAUCAUCACUAAAUAACAAAAAAUCACUUUUUUAUUAAAAGAAAAAAACUUACCGAUUGGAUAUUUGAAUUUUCGUAUUUGUUUUUUCCUGCAAUUCCUUGACAGCGGUACCCUGUCUACCUAUGAUUUGGGACACUGCUGAAUUAGGAACGACAAUUUUAACAAGAAGGCGUGAGUCUUGAGAAUUGGCUGUUGACGCAUCUUGAGAAAAAGACGAUUUCAUUAAGGGAAAAGACAAAUUAGAAGUUGUGUUGGAUUCUUGAAUACGUUCCUAAAAGAAAAGAAAAAUGCAAGCUAUCUUUUUUUUUUAAUUUAAAACUCCCAAAAAAAAAACAACUUGUAUCAAUUACAAGAAUCAUAGCAAAGGCU